RNAcentral lists this ribosomal RNA (371 nucleotides) under uncultured bacterium. RNAcentral's name for it is "bacterial SSU rRNA". It matches the Rfam family "Bacterial small subunit ribosomal RNA", at positions 527 to 896 of the family's 1533-position model. The record is from RNAcentral.
GGGGGGGGCAAGCGUUGUUCGGAAUUACUGGGCGUAAAGGGCUCGUAGGCGGCCAACUAAGUCAGACGUGAAAUCCCUCGGCUUAACCGGGGAACUGCGUCUGAUACUGGAUGGCUUGAGUUUGGGAGAGGGAUGCGGAAUUCCAGGUGUAGCGGUGAAAUGCGUAGAUAUCUGGAGGAACACCGGUGGCGAAGGCGGCAUCCUGGACCAACACUGACGCUGAUGAGCGAAAGCCAGGGGAGCAAACGGGAUUAGAUACCCCGGUAGUCCUGGCCCUAAACGAUGAAUGCUUGGUGUGGCGGGUAUCGAUCCCUGCCGUGCCGAAGCUAACGCAUUAAGCAUUCCGCCUGGGGAGUACGGUCGCAAGGCUG